Molecule: ribosomal RNA, 660 nt
Filed under: Bacillus subtilis
Lineage: Bacteria; Bacillati; Bacillota; Bacilli; Caryophanales; Bacillaceae
Description: bacterial SSU rRNA
Rfam family: Bacterial small subunit ribosomal RNA
Source: RNAcentral
AUGGGAGCUUGCUCCCUGAUGUUAGCGGCGGACGGGUGAGUAACACGUGGGUAACCUGCCUGUAAGACUGGGAUAACUCCGGGAAACCGGGGCUAAUACCGGAUGCUUGUUUGAACCGCAUGGUUCAAACAUAAAAGGUGGCUUCGGCUACCACUUACAGAUGGACCCGCGGCGCAUUAGCUAGUUGGUGAGGUAACGGCUCACCAAGGCAACGAUGCGUAGCCGACCUGAGAGGGUGAUCGGCCACACUGGGACUGAGACACGGCCCAGACUCCUACGGGAGGCAGCAGUAGGGAAUCUUCCGCAAUGGACGAAAGUCUGACGGAGCAACGCCGCGUGAGUGAUGAAGGUUUUCGGAUCGUAAAGCUCUGUUGUUAGGGAAGAACAAGUACCGUUCGAAUAGGGCGGUACCUUGACGGUACCUAACCAGAAAGCCACGGCUAACUACGUGCCAGCAGCCGCGGUAAUACGUAGGUGGCAAGCGUUGUCCGGAAUUAUUGGGCGUAAAGGGCUCGCAGGCGGUUUCUUAAGUCUGAUGUGAAAGCCCCCGGCUCAACCGGGGAGGGUCAUUGGAAACUGGGGAACUUGAGUGCAGAAGAGGAGAGUGGAAUUCCACGUGUAGCGGUGAAAUGCGUAGAGAUGUGGAGGAACACCAGUGGC